This 489-nucleotide ribosomal RNA is filed under the name uncultured bacterium. RNAcentral describes it as "partial 16S ribosomal RNA". It matches the Rfam family "Bacterial small subunit ribosomal RNA", at positions 30 to 507 of the family's 1533-position model. The record is from RNAcentral.
UUGAACGCUGGCGGCAUGCCUUACACAUGCAAGUCGAACGGCAGCAUGACCUAGCUUGCUCGAUUGAUGGCGAGUGGCGAACGGGUGAGUAAUACAUCGGAACGUGCCCUGUAGUGGGGGAUAACUAGUCGAAAGAUUAGCUAAUACCGCAUACGACCUGAGGGUGAAAGUGGGGGACCGCAAGGCCUCAUGCUAUAGGAGCGGCCGAUGUCUGAUUAGCUAGUUGGUGGGGUAAAGGCCCACCAAGGCGACGAUCAGUAGCUGGUCUGAGAGGACGAUCAGCCACACUGGGACUGAGACACGGCCCAGACUCCUACGGGAGGCAGCAGUGGGGAAUUUUGGACAAUGGGGGCAACCCUGAUCCAGCAAUGCCGCGUGUGUGAAGAAGGCCUUCGGGUUGUAAAGCACUUUUGUCCGGAAAGAAAUCGCACUUACUAAUAUUAGGUGUGGAUGACGGUACCGGAAGAAUAAGGACCGGCUAACUACGUG